Molecule: ribosomal RNA, 383 nt
Filed under: uncultured eukaryote
Lineage: Eukaryota
Description: partial 18S ribosomal RNA
Rfam family: Eukaryotic small subunit ribosomal RNA
Source: RNAcentral
CAAUAGCGUAUAUUAAAGUUGUUGCAGUUAAAAAGCUCGUAGUUGGAUUUCUGGUGGGAGCGAUCGGUCUGGCGCUUAGCGCGAGUACUUGCAUCGUCUCCGGCCAUCCUUGGGGAGAGUCUGUCUGGCAUUAAGUUGUCGGGCAGAGGAUCCUCAUCGUUUACUGUGAAAAAAUUAGAGUGUCCAAAGCAGGCUUAUGCCGUUGAAUAUAUUAGCACGGAAUAAUAAGAUAGGACUUUGGUACUAUUUUGUUGGUUUGCGCACCAAAGUAAUGAUUAAUAGGGACAGUUGGGGGUAUUCGUAUUCCGUUGUCAGAGGUGAAAUUCUUGGAUUUACGGAAGACGGACUACUGCGAAAGCAUUUACCAAGGAUGUUUUCAUUAA